UGAGGAAUAUUGGGCAAUGCCCGCAAGGGUGACCCAGCAACGCCGCGUGGAGGAUGAAUGUCGUAAGAUUGUAAACUCCUGUUAGAGGGGAAGAAUAGUACCGGUUGGACCGGUAUAUGACUGUACCCUCAGAGAAAGCCCCGGCUAACUACGUGCCAGCAGCCGCGGUAAUACGUAGGGGGCAAGCGUUGUCCGGAUUUACUGGGUGUCAAGGGCGCGCAGGCGGGAUAAAAAGUCAGUGGUGAAAUCCUACAGCUUAACUGUAGAACUGCCUUUGAUACUUUUACUCUUGAGUUCGGGAGAGAGAGACGGAAUUCCAGGUGUAGUGGUGAAAUACGUAGAUAUCUGGAAGAACACCAGUUGCGAAGGCGGUCUCUUGGUCCGACACUGACGCUGAGGCGCGAAAGCGUGGGGAGCAAACA
This 422-nucleotide ribosomal RNA is filed under the name uncultured bacterium. RNAcentral describes it as "bacterial SSU rRNA". It matches the Rfam family "Bacterial small subunit ribosomal RNA", at positions 355 to 774 of the family's 1533-position model. The record is from RNAcentral.